This 62-nucleotide small nuclear RNA is filed under the name Saimiri boliviensis boliviensis (Bolivian squirrel monkey). RNAcentral describes it as "U7 small nuclear RNA (ENSSBOG00000006398.1)". It matches the Rfam family "U7 small nuclear RNA". From Rfam's summary of the family: Animal histone pre-mRNAs are spliced by a different mechanism than nuclear pre-mRNAs and self-splicing introns. This processing involves the U7 snRNP, which contains only one RNA species: U7. The record is from Rfam by way of RNAcentral. Lineage: Eukaryota; Metazoa; Chordata; Mammalia; Primates; Cebidae.
AAGUGUUACAGUUCUUUUAGAAUUUGUCUAGCAGGCUUUCUGAGUUUUGCCAGAAAGCACUU